AGAUGGCGACCGGCGCACGGGUGAGUAACACGUAUCCAACCUGCCGAUAACUCGGGGAUAGCCUUUCGAAAGAAAGAUUAAUACCCGGUGGUAUAAUCAGACCGCAUGGUCUUGUUAUUAAAGAAUUUCGGUCAUCGAUGGGGAUGCGUUCCAUUAGGCAGUUGGUGAGGUAACGGCUCACCAAACCUUCGAUGGAUAGGGGUUCUGAGAGGAAGGUCCCCCACAUUGGAACUGAGACACGGUCCAA
This 247-nucleotide ribosomal RNA is filed under the name uncultured bacterium. RNAcentral describes it as "partial 16S ribosomal RNA". It matches the Rfam family "Bacterial small subunit ribosomal RNA", at positions 86 to 334 of the family's 1533-position model. The record is from RNAcentral.